This is a long non-coding RNA of Thamnophis sirtalis, 527 nucleotides long. RefSeq lists it as uncharacterized. The record is from RefSeq and is a predicted model, not a curated record. Lineage: Eukaryota; Metazoa; Chordata; Lepidosauria; Squamata; Natricidae.
UUCUUUUUUUAAAAUUCAAUAACUAUGUUCACAUCUGUUCACAAGUCUAGGAGAAGAUAUAUGCACAAAGAAAAGGAUAUACAGUCUUCCGCCUUCAUUCUUUAAGCUUCCUCUGUUUACCAAAAGAGUAUUUUUGGUAAAGCAGCUUCACAAUCUCCCUGGACAUUAUGGAAAUAGAAAAGAGGACUGCAGUUGCUCCAUUCACCCCAUGAAGCUUGAUGAAUGAGUUAAUAAAUGGAGGAAGAGGAGGUCAUGGUGGAGGAGGAGGAGGAGGAGGAGGAAGAAGAAGAAGAAGAAGAAGAGGAGGAGGAGGAGGGGGGGGGAAGCAACUCCAACAUGGCCAGGCAUGUCAACGCUGACAAUUUUACCUGUAAAAAUGAUUUAUUUGUACUGUUUCUUAUGGGCAACACUGUCCCUGUCUGCCCCUUGCCAAGUCUUAGCACCCCAACUAAUCACCAUAAGCUAUCUUGUUCUGAGUGGAAGAUGAUGUUAAAGUGCACAAUUUAAUUAAAAUAUGAAAACAUAAA